GAUGAACGCUGGCGGCGUGCCUAAUACAUGCAAGUCGAGCGAACGGACGAGAAGCUUGCUUCUCUGAUGUUAGCGGCGGACGGGUGAGUAACACGUGUAAACCUACCUUUACGGUUAGGUAAACUCCGGGAAAUCGGGCUAAAAACCGGUAAAAACUUUUGACCCAAUGGUUUAAAAGGUAAAGAACGGCUUUCUGGUACUUAAUGGCGGAUUCGCGCUGCAUUGGCUAGGUGGUUAGGUAACGGCUUUCCAAGGGAACGAUGGAUUGCCGACCUGAGAGGGUGAUCGGCCACACGGGAGCUGAGACACGGUCCAGGCUCCUACGGGAGGCAGCAGUAGGGAAUCUUCCGCAAUGGGCGAAAGCCUGACGGAGCAGCGCCGCGUGAGUGAUGAAGGUCUUCGGAUCGUAAAACUCUGUUAUUAGGGAAGAACAUAUGUGUAAGUAACUGUGCACAUCUUGACGGUACCUAAUCAGAAAGCCACGGCUAACUACGUG
Molecule: ribosomal RNA, 496 nt
Filed under: uncultured bacterium
Lineage: Bacteria
Description: partial 16S ribosomal RNA
Rfam family: Bacterial small subunit ribosomal RNA
Source: RNAcentral